RNA transcript from Drosophila obscura, 961 nucleotides. RefSeq lists it as uncharacterized. The transcript is spliced from 4 exons. NCBI's taxonomy places the organism in Eukaryota, Metazoa, Arthropoda, Insecta, Diptera, Drosophilidae. The record is from RefSeq and is a predicted model, not a curated record.
UACCGUUAGUCGCGCUCGGUCUUUCCAGCUCGCUCGUUCGUCGUUCGCUUUGCCGGGGCGAUGCAUGGGGGUGGUGGUGGUGGUGCCGCCCCCCCCUCGGCUGCAUCGUAUUUAGUUACAUUUUGCUGUUGCUGUUGUUGUUGUUGCUGCUGCUGCUGGUGUAUUUUGCAUUGUUUUGUGCUGUGUUUUGUUUUGCUGCAGCUCUCGGGCCGUGACUUCGGGUUAUGUACUCGUACAAGCACACCGUUUUAUGAUGAUCGGCUCUCAGCCCGUCUCUCGUUCGCUGUUGUAUAUGACGUUGUGUGAGUGUGCAGCAGCAGCAGCAGCAGCAACAAUGCCAAGCCAUGUGAUUGUGCAAAGCAAAAAUUCCCUUGCAAAUAAGUGUGAAAAAAUCCCCCCGAAAGAGUCAAUCACAACAAACCAUCACACAUAAACGUUUCCGCUUCCGCUCUGUCAAACGCAACAAAAAGUGCCAUAGCCUACCACGAAGGGCGACACGCACAAACAGGCACGCUGCCACACAUUGGGUGCCACAUUCAUAAACAAUUAAGUGACACUUUGAGUGGAGUGAUAGGAAGCGAGCAUUUAACGCCAGCAAAAUUAUUGUGAUUGAGUUAACUUUGGCCGGACUUUGUUCAGCAAUCGAAUCGUUUGAGUGGAUUGCGGGGCGUAAAUGACUGAGUUAAUAUACGAUUCGAUACGGCAGUGGCUUAGUAAUUGGCAACGAAGUUGUUAGGUAAGGCAAGUGAUAAAGAAGAGAGAUUAAUCCAUAUGAUUAGACUGAUUUGACUGAUUGAGAGGAAUAUAGUAGUUAUAUUUCUACAUUGAGCAAAGUGACUCGUCCUUCAACAAUUGGUCACCGGUUGGCUAUCCACCAAACUAUAGGCGUCCACCAAACUAUCACAGGCGCAACGAUUAUUCAGAUCGAUAUAAUUAUGGGGGUGAGAGAUAUGUGAGGUAU